Molecule: ribosomal RNA, 311 nt
Filed under: uncultured soil bacterium
Lineage: Bacteria
Description: bacterial SSU rRNA
Rfam family: Bacterial small subunit ribosomal RNA
Source: RNAcentral
AGAACGAACGCUGGCGGCAUGCCUAAUACAUGCAAGUCGAACGAACACUUCGGUGUUAGUGGCGCACGGGUGCGUAACGCGUGGGAAUCUGCCCUUGGGUUCGGAAUAACAGUUGGAAACGACUGCUAAUACCGGAUGAUAUCGAAAGAUCAAAGAUUUAUCGCCCAGGGAUGAGCCCGCGUAGGAUUAGCUAGUUGGUGAGGUAAAGGCUCACCAAGGCGACGAUCCUUAGCUGGUCUGAGAGGAUGAUCAGCCACACUGGGACUGAGACACGGCCAGACUCCGUACGGGAGCAGCAGUACGGGAAUAUU